AGAGUUUGAUCCUGGCUCAGGAUGAACGCUAGCGACAGGCCUAACACAUGCAAGUCGAGGGGCAGCGGGGAGGUAGCAAUACCUUUGCCGGCGACCGGCGCACGGGUGAGUAACACGUAUGCAAUCCACCUGUAACAGGGGGAUAACCCGGAGAAAUCCGGACUAAUACCCCACUAAUAUGGCGCUCCGCAUGGAGAGUUCAUUAAGAGAGCAAUUUGGUUACAGACGAGCAUGCGCUCCAUUA
RNAcentral lists this ribosomal RNA (244 nucleotides) under uncultured bacterium. Its description in RNAcentral is "partial 16S ribosomal RNA". It matches the Rfam family "Bacterial small subunit ribosomal RNA", at positions 8 to 243 of the family's 1533-position model. The record is from RNAcentral.